CACAAUAAAAUAUGAAGGCUGUACGCGGCUGUGCUCUCGGGCCAGUUUUUGCGGAGGCUGAAUUAUUUAUUACCCUUGUCUUUUUGCGCACCUGUUGUUUCCUGGGCGGGUUCGCCCGCCACCAGGACCACAUCAUAAACCUUUUUUAUGCAGUUGCAAUCAGCGUCAGUAUAACAAAUGUAAAUCAUUUA
This 191-nucleotide unclassified non-coding RNA is filed under the name soil metagenome. RNAcentral's name for it is "partial internal transcribed spacer 1". The record is from RNAcentral.